UACGUAGGGUGCGAGCGUUGUCCGGAAUUAUUGGGCGUAAAGAGCUCGUAGGCGGUUUGUUGCGUCGGCCGUGAAAACCUGCAGCUUAACUGUGGGCCUGCGGCCGAUACGGGCAGACUUGAGUUCGGUAGGGGAGACUGGAAUUCCUGGUGUAGCGGUGAAAUGCGCAGAUAUCGGGAGGAACACCAAUGGCGAAGGCAGCUCGCUGGGACGUUACUGACGCUGAGACGCGAAAGCGUAGGGAGCAAACAGG
This 253-nucleotide ribosomal RNA is filed under the name uncultured bacterium. RNAcentral's name for it is "partial 16S ribosomal RNA". It matches the Rfam family "Bacterial small subunit ribosomal RNA", at positions 524 to 776 of the family's 1533-position model. The record is from RNAcentral.